RNAcentral lists this transfer RNA (76 nucleotides) under Propionispora sp. 2/2-37. Its description in RNAcentral is "tRNA-Gln". It matches the Rfam family "tRNA". From Rfam's summary of the family: Transfer RNA (tRNA) molecules are approximately 80 nucleotides in length. Their secondary structure includes four short double-helical elements and three loops (D, anti-codon, and T loops). The record is from RNAcentral. Lineage: Bacteria; Bacillati; Bacillota; Negativicutes; Selenomonadales; Sporomusaceae.
AGGGGUGUAGCCAAGUCGGUAAGGCACGGGACUUUGACUCCCGCAUGCGUUGGUUCGAGUCCAGCCACCCCUGCCA